Long non-coding RNA from Tarenaya hassleriana, 316 nucleotides. RefSeq lists it as uncharacterized. NCBI's taxonomy places the organism in Eukaryota, Viridiplantae, Streptophyta, Magnoliopsida, Brassicales, Cleomaceae. The transcript has 2 exons. The record is from RefSeq and is a predicted model, not a curated record.
CUGAAAGAUGAGUCCAUACAAGAUGGUAAUAACGUCGUUCAUGAUCCUCUUGGUCUCAUCGGCCUUAAUUGAUGAGAGCAUGGGGUGUAUGGAUAUCCUUGGACCGUGUAUGCCUGACUGUGGUAGCAAGUGCAAGACCAUUCACGGCGAAAAAGCCAUUGGCUAUUGCGACCGUGGUGGCAUCUGCAUUUGCAGCUACCUUUACCCUGCCCAUUUUCAACAGACCGACCCAUGAACUUUCAACACUCUCUCAUAUAUCAUAUGAUAUUUACCGUAAUAAUAAUAAUAAUAUAUAAUCAUAUGCAUAAGCAUUCCA